RNAcentral lists this unclassified non-coding RNA (2401 nucleotides) under Limulus polyphemus (Atlantic horseshoe crab). RNAcentral describes it as "phosphoinositide 3-kinase adapter protein 1-like, transcript variant X4". Lineage: Eukaryota; Metazoa; Arthropoda; Merostomata; Xiphosura; Limulidae. The record is from RNAcentral.
AGUCCUUGAGUGAGUGAACAGCAACGACACAGGUCUGUUGUUGGUAAAAGGAAAAAGCAUACUCGUUGGCUUAGAUGUUUACCAUGGAUCCUCCAGACGUUACCAUUGUGUUUUGCAAUGACGUUGAAGAGUGGGGCGAUUAUUUGUCGGACUGUUUGCAUCAUGUUUUAGAUCCGUUCCUGAAAGUGUAUCAAAUGCGUAUUGAAUGCUUGUUUUUCCCUCUUUCUGAAUCUUGUGUGCUGAAUUUGAGUAAAGCCCAGGUAGUGCUAAUCAUAAUGUCUCAAACCUUCUUGGAUUUUCUGGAGGAUAUGCCCAAAGCUUCUCAGUUGACAUCCCUCCUGAAACCUUCUCAGACUGUCGCUGUGUUGUGUGGACUUAAAGAUCAUGACAUAAAUUUCCACCAUAAGAAGUCACUAGUGACCUUUGAUUUGUGGACUCGACUAAAAGUACCAAAACCAGAGGAGAUAUAUGUACGUAAUAUUAUUAAAACUGUCAGCCUAAUCUUGAAACAAGGAACAGAUCAGAGUGAACGGAUGCAAGAGCUCCGCUUUGAAUUGUGGCCUAAUGUAAUUCACGAGAAGUCCAGAGAAGUUUCCGUAGUCUUAAACUCACCUGUACAGGAAGACCAUUACAUCAGAGUUAUUCUGAAAAAUAACGACAAACAACAAGAAGUAAAAGCAAACCGCCGAAAUCCAUUCACGUUUCACUUUCAUGUUCCAGCUAUGUUCGUUUCUACGUCGUCAAUGAUAUCGGUUCGUAUUUGGUGUAAUGACAGUUAUUUCGGGGAGGAAACCUUGCACUACCAUUCUCCCAUGACUCAGUUACAUGAAUUAUUACACGAUGUCGUUUCGCCUUAUGAGCUCUUACGCCAGAGUCUCAACACGACAACGAACUUAGAGGUUGACCAACAGUUAACUCAGAUUUUCAAGAACAACCUUCCCUCAAGUGGUUUUUCUCUGCUGACUCCUACUUCCGGACCCUUCCUCAGAAGUGAAGAUGAACUCCCAACUUUGCUCCAUUUCUCUGCUCGCUAUGGGAUGGAAGAAUUAACUUCGGCUCUCCUAAAUUCUCCUGGAUCUGCAAGAGCUUGUUGCCUUGCGAAUCGUCACGGACAUCUUCCAGUUCACAUAGCACAACGAGAAGAACACAACAAGAUUGCAGAAAUGUUGGAUUCAUUUCAAAAAAGAGUGGAACGUGAAACAUACCAAGUUGCCAAUUUUGUUCCAAAGAUGACAAGACACGAAGAAAGUGAUAUUAGUAGUUCCUUGCAGAACUGUCCAACUUAUCAAAAUAUACCCGAGUUCUUAUCACUUCCUGAUAUUUCGCACGAUAGUUAUACGAAAAUGAAUAAGUGUAAAGAUUACAUGCUGAUGUCAAGACUCCCUGUUCUACAUGCACCAGAUUCUGUAUCGAAUCGCCCAACUUACCAAGAUCAGUUAGAGUACAUAUCAGUUCCUCUGACUUCGCAGAAUAGUUUCAUAGAACUGAACGAAUGUGGAGACUACAUAUCAAUGUCUACAUGUCGUGUUUUGCAGGAAUCUGUAGAUCUUCAACCACAUCAGAAAUUACUUUUCAAGAACCUUGGCAAUGAAAAUAAGGAAGAAGAAAAAACAAUAACACGUGAGAACAGUGUUUUUUACAGUCAGUGCUCAACUGAUGACGUUUCACGAACAAUUUUAGAAGAGAAAGUAGAAGAACAACAGGUGGAUUCUCCUCUGUAUAGUGAAUGUUGUAUUAACACAUCUCAACAAGAAUUGAUAUCCAUUACGGAGGUGUAUGAAAACGGUACCACCAUGACUGAAGCUGAAAUGAAAAUAAAGGAGUGGAAGAAACGAAAUCAUAUGCCUUCAAUCAAGAUAAAUAAGUCACGAUGCCGACAAGAAGAUAGAAAGGUGAAAAAUGCCAGGAAACAACAUUCGAACGCGUGGUUUGACAUCUUCAACAUUUUUACUGGGAAACUCAGGCAAAAAGGCACUCCAAUUCGUAAGAUAUCGAAGGGCAAUGACAAGUCGACACCUCAAGUCAGUACAAAUGUAAAACAAGAGGACUUCGCCAAUACUACCAAUGAAUAUUCCAGCGCAUCAGAGACAACCAGCGCAGAGAUAACGUCAAGAAGUAACGCACCUUUCAGCUCAGAAUCGGAAGUUUGCAGAGUCAGCAGUAUAUCCUACUCUAGCAGUCCUAAUUCAGAAGCAAGUGACUUGGGUAAUACGGUUUGGUCUGAGAACAGCAGUGAUAGUUGUUGCUAUCCUGACACAAAUGAAGGUAACAAGAUUCACAUCUAAGUGACGGAUGUAGCUCAGUCGUUAUCAAGAACUAUCGCAAUAGUGUGUUCUACUGUGAAUUAGAAGGUGAAAGAAACAAGCUAAAGGUUGUCAAUUCAGGACCUACCAAGGACAGC